Non-coding RNA from Pelodiscus sinensis (Chinese soft-shelled turtle), 2850 nucleotides. The record is from RefSeq and is a predicted model, not a curated record. NCBI's taxonomy places the organism in Eukaryota, Metazoa, Chordata, Testudines, Trionychidae.
AGCCCCUCGGCACAACUGGACCCGCUGGCGCUGCCCUGAUUGAACGAGAGCGGGUCACAUGGAGAAGGUGGGCCAAUGGGAAAGGAGAGGUGCCCUGGGGGCGGGCAGAGAAGGGCUGGCUGGCGCCAUCUUUGAUCCGGGCAAGUAGGAGCGCCCUAGAAGCAAGUGCCGGGGGCGCCAUCUUUGUUAGUCCCCCUGCCAGCCCCCGGCGCCGCGCCAGCCGUUAGGCGGGACCCGAGAGCCGCACCGAGGAGACUCCGCCCCGCGGCGGCGAAGGCAGAGCGAGGUUGCGCCCCCUGCAGGCUAAAGCCGGGGGAAUGCCUGGGCUCCGGCGCCAAACCACGGGACGUUGUAGCCGCCCGGCCCGCAGCAGUUGCUUGGUUUGCUGAUCCCGAGCGUCAGGCGACACCGGAGGCCGGUCCCAUUUCAGCUAGAGGGGGGGCCCCGCGCGCUCCCCCCAGCACACGGGUCUUCUACCCGCCCGAAACACAGGGACGCUUUGGAAUGAAGAGUUCAUCGCAAAGUCAAUGCUCAUGCUAAUGGGCCCAAUCGUGAUGAAGGAAAAGAAUGAUAUGGACGGAAACCAGUGGAAUAUGGCAUCCCUGCACGCGCAAAGACAGUUCAGUGUUGCUGCUGCUGCUGCUGCUGACAUCUUUCACAAGCUGUAGAAAAAGACAACUGUAACAAGACUUUCAGAUGUUGUACUGCUGCACUUUAGCACCCCCAGGGUAAAAUCAGGUCAAUUUCAUUCUGCUGAUGCUUAGUACAUCUAUGAACAAAUACCAGAGGGAGGUAUUGGGCUAAUAUGAAGUUGGAAAAAGGGGGCAGAAAAUCCAAGUCUGGUAUGGGGCAGAUUGGCAGAGACCUAAUUCCCCUGAAGUAUCUAGAAGAGUAGAAAGGAAAAGUGUAGUGUGGAUCCUACCCCCUAUCCUAGGGAGACUCUGAGUUGGAGAAUUCCAAGAAAGACCUCUCCCACAACAGUGAGAAAAGUGGAGGGAAGCUUCAAGUUUUAUAAAAAACAACUAGCUAUUUUCCAUAUAAACUUCUGGAGCCCCUGAGAAGCUAGGAAGCUUGGCACUUCUCAGCAGCUGAGGCAGAGAGAGGCACACUCCGUUCUUCUCAUCAGCACACUGUCCUUGGACCAUGCUUGCUGGUAACUACUUAUCACUGAAUCUGGCUGCUUACAAGAAGAUUAGGUCCUUUGGCUAGUAGGUAGGUGUCUGUUAAGUUUUUCAAAUUCUGGUGUAGGACCUAAUCCUGCAAGAUGCUGUUUAGCACUUUUAGUACUUAACUGAAUUUCCCUCCAAAAAUAUUUGCAUAUUUCCAUCAACGCCAGCCGAGAUGUGUGAAGUCUUUAGUAGUGUUUAUAUUGUUACGUAACUAGUGUAAAUACAAAUAAUUCAGAAUGCAAAACUGACAUGAAGUGCUAUGAAUCUGACUCAAUAAAAAGUAUGGCAAAGUUCAUAGUGUGAGAUUGGCGCUUUUGAUGUUUAUAAAAGCCAAAAUCACAAAUACUGAGACUUGAAUUAUUGAGACACAUGCUACUUACUGAGGAAAAUGUACUGUUAGUUCCUAAAGAACUCAAUUCUACAGACCCUUUUGCUUGUUAAUACAAGUUGAACCUCUCUCAGUCUGGCACUCUCUGGUCAGGCAACAUCUGUGAUCCAGUGUGAUUUUAGUUAGCCAGAUGUCCACUUAACAAGGACGUGGCCAAGUUUCCUGCAGUCCCAUAAAAUUUGUUUAUAGCCACCAAUUCUGGCUCUCAGUUUCUGUGCUAUUAUUUAGCUCAAAUUUACCUCUAACUGUCUUCCACUGUUUACUAGGCUUUUAAAAGUGUUGUUAAUGCUGCUAGAAAUAUUGACCUCCCAUGGUUCAGCACCAGUCAGGUCCUGAAGAUGCCAGAUUAGAGAGGUUCAACCAGUCUUGUCAAAAUUGGGCCUCUAUUUCAGGAAUAAGGAUCAAAACUGCAUAGAAAAGAAUGACUAAACUAGUUUAAUCUCGAACAUCAAAUAGAGACAAAAAUAAAUAAGGAAAAAGAUGUAACAGACGUAAAAAGUAUCACUAAUAGAUUAACUGAAGGUUUUUAUUCCAUAGAUAUAUACUAGAAGAUUUACCUGGAAUUGCUUGGGUCCUUCAGGGCUGGGAGCUGUGAGGGAUGCAGGACUCAGGGCAUAGGACUGGAGGUGUGUGUGGGAGGUGAAGGCAUCAGGGCAGGAGGCUGGGAGUUGUGUGUGUGUGUGGGGGGGGGGGACCCUCAGGACAGGAUUAGGGGUAAUGGGGUCAGUGCAGGGGGUGUGGAGCUCAGGGUGGGAGUACAGGAGUCAGGGCAGGAGAUGGGAGGUCGGGUCCAGGACUGGGCUGCCUGGCAGCUCAUCCGGGGAGGCUGUGGACUGGUGGAGCUCCUCCUAUCUGGCAAUGUGGAUGAUGGGAAUUGGUUUGGGGGCAGGCAGGGUACUUACUUGGGUCGGUGUCCAGAAAUAUGGAGAGCCCUAGCUGGCCACACUCUUCCAGGUGCGGCCACCCCCAUGUGGUCACUCUGCAGCAUAACUGUCCCCCAUACUUGCUGCACCCAGUGGUCACUGCAAAGCAUAACUGACCCACCUAUCAAACCCCUCCAUUCCAUGUUAUGGAAAACUGAAUUCCACGCACAGCCCAAUUUUCUGGCACAACCAAACUCUGACCUUGCUUUACAUUAGGAUAAGAGGAAGCUGUAUUCCAAAUUUGGUGGUCCUAGCUCUUACUGUUUAGCGGUUCUUGAACAACUAGAUUCACAGAGACAAACAGACAGACAGAUGCAUACUUUCUAAAAUAUAUACAUCUCCACAAAAGAGAAUGAUUCUAACAGUGCAA